UACGGAGGGUGCAAGCGUUAUCCGGAUUCACUGGGUUUAAAGGGUGCGUAGGCGGGCAGGUAAGUCAGUGGUGAAAUCUCCGAGCUUAACUCGGAACUGCCGUUGAUACUAUUUGUCUUGAAUACUGUGGAGGUAAGCGGAAUAUGUCAUGUAGCGGUGAAAUGCUUAGAUAUGACAUAGAACACCAAUUGCGAAGGCAGCUUACUACGCAGUUAUUGACGCUGAGGCACGAAAGCGUGGGGAGCAAACAGG
Molecule: ribosomal RNA, 252 nt
Filed under: uncultured bacterium
Lineage: Bacteria
Description: partial 16S ribosomal RNA
Rfam family: Bacterial small subunit ribosomal RNA
Source: RNAcentral